Molecule: long non-coding RNA, 383 nt
Filed under: Physcomitrium patens
Lineage: Eukaryota; Viridiplantae; Streptophyta; Bryopsida; Funariales; Funariaceae
Description: long non-coding RNA (PPAT_LNC000341)
Source: RNAcentral
AUUUUCUAAAACUAAUUGUUAUUUCCAAUGAUCUACUUUUGCACAAUUUAAGUCUCCACAGUCUUUUUCUUGUGAAAUACUCUUAACUCUCAAUAAUCAAUAUAUUAUAAUUCUCCCAUUCAUAUACAUACUUCACAAAUAUCUUCAAUUAUCGACUUUCCAAUUUUCUACUUAUAAUUUAGUAUACAAUCAAUUCAAUUUCUCAUUUGACAUCAUAUAAAUCAAAACUUUCUUUUAUUACAAAAUUUCACUUUACAUUAUUUAAAAUCUAUCCAUUAUCCUUCUUUUAUAAAAAAAAUAAAAAUGAGAAGUAGAACCAAGCUUAUCCUGGCUCAUGACUAUCACAGUCUAGUCUUGUCUACUUUUUCUUCAACCAAUUUAUA